RNAcentral lists this long non-coding RNA (456 nucleotides) under Homo sapiens (human). Its description in RNAcentral is "non-protein coding lnc-SORCS1-9:2". Lineage: Eukaryota; Metazoa; Chordata; Mammalia; Primates; Hominidae. The record is from RNAcentral.
UUUCCUAAAAAUGCAUCAACCUGUUUGCUUUUGGUUGCUCUCUUUUUUAAAAGUCACUCUGAGAGAUUUGGGGAAGGGGCGUCUAAAUUGCUCAGACUCUGAUUUGGGGAUCUAGGAGUCUGGGACAAAAUUUUUGAGAUGGAGUCUCACUCUGUUGCCCAGGUUGGAGUGCAAUGGCGCAAUCUUGGCUCACUGCAACCUCAGCAUCCCAGGUUCAAAUGAUUCUCCUGCCUCAGCCUAGAAGAUUAGGAGAUGAAUUUGUUUUGAAAGACAGUACAGAGUUAGCCUUGACUGCAAAUUGGACAUUUUAUUGCAUUUGUCUGAUGGAUAAUCACAGAUAAAGACUUUGAUCUUUAUCCCCAUGGCAGCAAUAAGAAAAAGGCAGGAACUCUGUGUACUAUCUUUUAUUUCUUUUCUCUGCAGUUCUGGGAAAAUUGAGCCUAUUUAAAUGCUCAG